This 1528-nucleotide ribosomal RNA is filed under the name uncultured prokaryote. Its description in RNAcentral is "partial 16S ribosomal RNA". It matches the Rfam family "Bacterial small subunit ribosomal RNA". The record is from RNAcentral.
AGAGUUUGAUCCUGGCUCAGAACGAACGCUGGCGGCGUGGAUAAGACAUGCUAGUCGAACGAGAGGUCCUUAGCUUGCUUUGGGCCUCUAGUGGCGGACGGGUGAGUAACACGUGAGUACCUGCCUGAAAGAUGGGGAUAGCCCGGGGAAACUCGGAUUAAUACCCAAUGGUGUCGCAAGACUAAAUGGUGCCUUCGGGUGCCGCUUUCAGAUGGGCUCGCGGCCUAUCAGCUAGUUGGAGGGGUAACGGCCCACCAAGGCGACGACGGGUAGCUGGUCUGAGAGGAUGACCAGUCACACUGGGAACUGAGACACGGUCCAGACACCUACGGGUGGCAGCAGUCGAGAAUCAUUCACAAUGGGCGAAAGCCUGAUGGUGCCACGCCGCGUGGAGGAUGAAGGUCUUAGGACUGUAAACUCCUGUCAUCAGAGAGUAAAGCACAGGCGUUAAUAGCGUCUUGUGCCUGAUAGUAUCUGAAGAGGAAGGGGCGGCUAACUCCGUGCCAGCAGCCGCGGUAACACGGAGGCCCCGAGCGUUGUUCGGAUUUACUGGGCGUAAAGAGUGCGUAGGCGGUUGGGUAAGUCAGAUGUGAAAGCCCGGGGCUCAACCUCGGAACUGCAUCCGAUACUGCCCGACUUGAGGGUUGGAGAGGAGACUGGAAUUCAUGGUGUAGCAGUGAAAUGCGUGGAUAUCAUGAGGAAGACCAAUGGCGAAGGCAGGUCUCUGGACAACUCCUGACGCUGAGAUACGAAGGCCAGGGUAGCGAAAAGGAUUAGAUACCCUUGUAGUCCUGGCAGUAAACGGUGUGCGCUUGGUGUGGGGGGAUUCGACCCCCUCCGUGCCGGAGCUAACGCGUUAAGCGCACCGCCUGGGGAGUACGGUCGCAAGAUUAAAACUCAAAGAAAUUGACGGGGACCCGCACAAGCGGUGGAGUAUGUGGCUUAAUUCGAUGCAACGCGAAGAACCUUACCUGGGUUUGACAUGCAUCUCUAAAGCUGUGAAAGCAGUGGAGUGUAGCAAUACACAAUUUGCACAGGUGCUGCAUGGCUGUCGUCAGCUCGUGUCGUGAGAUGUUGGGUUAAGUCCCGCAACGAGCGCAACCCCUGUCACUAGUUGCCAUCAUUAAGUUGGGGACUCUAGUGAGACUGCCCAGAUCAACUGGGAGGAAGGUGGGGACGACGUCAAGUCAGUAUGGCCUUUAUACCCAGGGCUGCACACGUACUACAAUGCCCAGCACAGUGUGAACCGAGACCGCGAGGUGGAGGAAAUCCCUAAAACUGGGCUCAGUUCGGAUUGGAGGCUGCAACUCGCCUCCAUGAAGUCGGAAUCGCUAGUAAUGGCUCAUCAGCUACGGAGCCGUGAAUACGUUCCCGGGUCUUGUACACACCGCCCGUCACAUCAUGGAAGCCGGUCGCGCCCGAAGUAUCUGUGCCAACGAAAGAGGCAGGGCCCUAAGGUGAGGCUGGUAACUGGGAUGAAGUCGUAACAAGGUAGCCGUAGGGGAACCUGCGGAUGGAUCACCUCCUU